GGGUGCUAGCUUUGGCAGCCCUCUACUAAAACUGGAGUGAUACAGAGAAGAUUAGCAUGGUCCCUGUGCAAGGAAGACAUGCAAAUUCGUGAAACAUUCCAUAUUAAA
Molecule: small nuclear RNA, 108 nt
Organism: Manis javanica (Malayan pangolin)
Lineage: Eukaryota; Metazoa; Chordata; Mammalia; Pholidota; Manidae
Source: RefSeq, a predicted model, not a curated record